CCUAACAGAGGGUUUAAUUAAACUUCUUGAACAUCGCCGUGGCCAGGAUGGCGCAUAUAUUGGAUGCAUGAAGUCAGGAGACGUGAUAUCAGAAGAGGGAAAGCCUUGGUAUGAACCUGAUUGGUGGAAAUUUGGGGAUGAAAAAUCGUAUUUCCGACAUGCAUCUGGUUCACUUGUUAUACUUUCAAAGAA
Molecule: long non-coding RNA, 192 nt
Organism: Lathyrus oleraceus (garden pea)
Lineage: Eukaryota; Viridiplantae; Streptophyta; Magnoliopsida; Fabales; Fabaceae
Exons: 3
Source: RefSeq, a predicted model, not a curated record